AUGGCAUUACACCACCCUUUCACAGCACCACAUGUGGCUCGGGUGUUCCUCGACAACAUCGUCAAGCUCCACGGUGUGCCGGACUCUAUCGUCUCUGACCGCGACAAGAUCUUCACGAGCGCUUUCUGGAGAGAAUUGUUCGCACUCGUCGGCACUAAGCUGCUAUACACCACGGCGUAUCAUCCGCAGACAGAUGGGCAGAGCGAGCGUGUCAAUCAGUGUUUGGAGCAUUACUUACGUUGUGCCAUCCAUGACACACCGCACCGCUGGAAGCGCUGGCUGCCCAUGGCAGAAUUCUGGUACAAUUCCAGCCAUCAUAGUGCCUUGGGGUGUACUCCAUUCAAGGCUCUUUAUGGAGUGGAACCAAAUUUUGGAGCUCUACCCAACCUCUUCACUGUCAAGACACCAGACUCCAUCCUGGAACUGGCCGCUGAGCAUCAACAAUUCACUGAAAUGCUCAAAGCACACCUCCUGCGUGCCCAGCAACGCAUGAAGCAUCACGCGGACCGCAAACGUACUGAGCGGGAAUUCAGCGUGGGUGCACAAGUCCUCUUGAAGUUACAGCCA
This 567-nucleotide ribosomal RNA is filed under the name Triticum aestivum (bread wheat). RNAcentral's name for it is "partial small subunit ribosomal RNA". The record is from RNAcentral. Lineage: Eukaryota; Viridiplantae; Streptophyta; Magnoliopsida; Poales; Poaceae.